GGAACCUGCGGUUGGAUCACCUCCUUACCUCAGAUACGCAUUGCGCAGUGUCCACACAGAUUGUCUGAUAGAAAGUAACGAGCAAAUAAGGCCGGGCUGAGAGAUUAGUCGGGCUUUAGUACCUUGUUGGGUCUGUAGCUCAGGUGGUUAGAGCGCACCCCUGAUAAGGGUGAGGUCGGUGGUUCAAGUCCACUCAGACCCACCAACUCAUCCUCAUACUGCGUGACUACGCCUGGUCUGAGAAUGAGUUAUGCCGAUAAGGUAUUUUGCUUUUUAUAUGGGGCUAUAGCUCAGCUGGGAGAGCGCCUGCCUUGCACGCAGGAGGUCAGCGGUUCGAUCCCGCUUAGCUCCACCAUAUAAAAAACUAUUUCAAAAUGUACUGCGGUCGCAAGACACAGUGUGUUGUGAAAUAUUGCUCUUUAACAAUCUGGAACAAGCUGAAAAUUGAAACAAUACAGCUGAAACUUAUCUCUCCGUAGAAGUACUGAGAUAAGGAUUAACCUGUAUUAGAGUCUCUCAAAUAAUUGCAAUGCCAAUGUGUUUAUCAUUGUUGCAGUGUGAGCGAGAAGAUACUCAGUAAGGCGUACAGCGCACAGCAACCGGAGUGAACGCUACGUUCAUGAAGAUUGCGCGCACUGCACAACGACGCAGAGUGUGUUCGUAGCCACACCAAUAAAGAAGAAACAUCUUUGGGUUGUGA
This 700-nucleotide unclassified non-coding RNA is filed under the name Yersinia enterocolitica subsp. enterocolitica. RNAcentral describes it as "16S-23S ribosomal RNA intergenic spacer IA". The stretch from base 129 to 202 matches the Rfam family "tRNA". Lineage: Bacteria; Pseudomonadati; Pseudomonadota; Gammaproteobacteria; Enterobacterales; Yersiniaceae. The record is from RNAcentral.